GCCGCAACUGCCCUCGUCCCACCCCACAAGCUCCUUCUCCAGCGUCAGCGCUGUCGGCGGACGCAAAGGGGAGCCGGGGUCCCUUCUGUCACUUCCGGCGACGGAGACGCCUCAGAUUCAUCAUCUAUAAAACAAGCAAUUGUAAUCGUCUAUCCUCUGAGCUCAGUGCCGAGCAAGGACUCAGGAGGGGAUGUCAGUACUACCACUUCAUCAGCAAAGGACUGUUGUGAGGAUCAACCAUGACAAGACUGCAACUCCCAGAAGGCAGAGACUGCAUCAAUUUUAUCCACCACUGCAUCUUCAGCUUCACCUGGCGUACCUACAACCAGAAUGCACAAGAAGGGACUGUCAAGGAUCAGGGCUGCUUUUCUUUGGGUGACUUCCAUAAAAUGCACAGGAAAUCAACAUCAUGUUUCACUUCCUAACUCUGCAGCACGAGAAGGAACUGCGCUGGAGGUGUCUAUGCAGCUCUGUAACUCCCUGUACAGUGCCUGAGCAAUCCCAACGCUGAGUCAGAUCACCUGAGCACGGAGCUAGGAGGCGGCUUUUUGUCAUGACAUCACACAGGAAAGACUUGUGGCUGUGUGGAGGAAGGGGAACCGAAGAGUCUUCCUGUUGUCUAUCUUGCUGGUAUAUUUUAGGGACCCUUGUGGAAGCUCAGGAAUCCACUUUUAGAGACCACAGGGUAAGGAGUUGAGGAAUUAGAACAACUGCACAGAGAAAAGGAGGAAUAUAGGAGAUAAUUCACAGUAACUCCAACUGGGGCCUGGGGAUGUCCAUUCAAUAAAUAUUUGUUAAUGUUUACUAUAUGCCAAACACCAUGCUUGGUGUUGAUGGAUGCAAAUAAGAACCAUUAAGUUUAUCUUUAAGAAAAGACUAGUUCUUAAGUCCAGAGAUGCAGAAGAACCUGACACAGAUGAAAAGACCUAUGAGUCACAAAUUAAAUAAAAUGUCCACACAUUC
Molecule: long non-coding RNA, 963 nt
Organism: Suricata suricatta (meerkat)
Lineage: Eukaryota; Metazoa; Chordata; Mammalia; Carnivora; Herpestidae
Exons: 4
Source: RefSeq, a predicted model, not a curated record